This 15359-nucleotide long non-coding RNA is filed under the name Medicago truncatula (barrel medic). RNAcentral's name for it is "long non-coding RNA (MTRU_LNC002904)". The stretch from base 5445 to 5517 matches the Rfam family "tRNA". The record is from RNAcentral. Lineage: Eukaryota; Viridiplantae; Streptophyta; Magnoliopsida; Fabales; Fabaceae.
GGAUGAGAUUGUGGCCCCUAAAGGCAAAGGCAAUGAUACCAAAUGCAUUAAACACACCAAGAAUUUUUUCAACACUGUUACCUCCCCUUACUGGAUUAUAAUUCACACCUGGUAGGGUACCCUGUGCCACGGAAGCCAUCCAAAUGGAGGUACAAUACCCUACAGCAGUGACUGCUCCAAUAAGGGAAAUUCCAGCAAUUGAAUUCAAGUUUGGUAACUGAGACAGAACCACAGCAACACAGGUAAAAACCAAGUACCAUUCCACGGUAGUCAUAGGUUUGGAAUUACAUGAUUCUCCACAAACAACCUCAUAGAAUGUUCUUGCUGUUGAUCCUCCUAUGAUGAUCAAUGUAGUACAUGUCCCAGCUGAUAGGUAUAGUAUUGGAAAUAAAGCUAGCAAUUUCCCCAAUUUCUCACCUGCAACAUUCCGUUCCAACACUUCAUCAAUUGAUUUUGCCUAAUUUUGUAGUUAGUUCAAGAGAUAAAAUAAUGUCCGACCAAUGUUCAACCCAUGAAUCAAAUUUGUGAACUAUUUGAAGGAUUCAACAUUAGCCGAAGUACAUUAAUUAUUUGAGGCCAACUAUUUAGUUUUUAAUUACCUAUCUCCGUGAACUUAUAAGGACAAUGCAUAAUACAUGCAAGGUCGGAGUUCGAACCCAGACACCACAAAAAAAUCACUACAGUACAUAUUAAAAAACCGACUAUCCAAAUUGUUUCAUAGUGGUUCACAUCGGGCCACAUAUUUAAUCUAGUUAGACUAAAUUAAAUUACGCAAAACACUUGAUUUGUCAGGAUUAUGCAAUCCAAACAUGUGCAAAUUUACCCAUGUUUUUAAAUCAGCCAAACAUAUGUUGAUUUUGUAAUUAUUUUAAAUUAAUUACAUUAUUGUUUACAAAUUGUCCUAACAAUCAUUUAAUACCACUCGUUACUCUUAUUGUUUGCACAAGCAACUCAAUUUUUGAUGAACAUCACUACAUCUACCAAUAUUGUCAUGUUACAUGCCUAUCUUUUUAUUUAAUUCACAUUCAAACUAGACAUGAUGUAUAGUUCAAUCAAUAGUUUAUUGCAUGAAAAUGACAUUUGUUGUUAGUUACACAUUACAUUUUCAGCUAAAAUUUGUUGCAUUUUGUUAACCAUGAAAAUUCCUAUUCUCAUUUUAUGGAAAAAUAAAUUGGAUCUAAUCUCAUUUUAGAGAGUAUAUUUUCUCUAAUUUGGUGAAAACUUAGGUAAGUAUUACUUGUUGCAACAUCUUCCUUAAAUCAAAUGAAAAUAUAGUAUCCACAAAAUGAAAAAGAAAUGAAUGAAUACGUGGUUGCAUCAUACCAAAAGUAACAAAGCAGAGUUGAAGGUAUCGACUAUAACGAACACCAUCCUUGGAUUCGUGAAGAUGGACGAGCAACCAUAAGGUAUAAAGCUGCCAUAUGAAUGCUAUUGUCAAACUUAUUAUUCCCCAUGUCCUGCAACCAAUCACACAUUUGUUUCAUCAAUAUUAAGAGCAUGUGUGUGUGUGUGUGUAAGAAAAUGGUUGAAAAAACUUUCUUCUUUGUUGACAAUAUAUAUAGGGUUUGAGAUAAACUUGAUUUUAGAAGAAAACAUAAAGACAUGUGAUAGUUAUUAUAAAUUAAAAUUAUCUCCCUCUUGAAAAAUAAGUUUGAUUAAAAGUGAUAAUUAAAUUGUACUACUAUUUUCUUCCUUAAGUUAUGUUGAAUGUAUUUCUUUUAAGUAUGUACUUAAAAUAAAAUAUUAAAUAUUAAUUUUUACCAACAUACCCAACCCAUUACCGUCACCAUCGACCCAUCCAAUAUUGUACCCCCACCACACCUUCUAAUAUUUCAGUACAUCAACAUGUUAAAUUUUUGUGUGUUUAUGUUUAGAUAAAUGAAUUUCCUAGCUUAUAAUUUUUUUUUAUAAAAUACAAAUUAUUAAUAAUAACUUGUGAAUCAAAUAAGUACUAGUGUAAAAGACUUGAGUGAUUCUAUAAGUUAUCAAAUAUUCUUUUAAAAAAAAGUUAUCAAACAUAAUUAAUUAUUAUAGAGUUAAAGAUUAUUUUUUUUUAAUAAUAUUAUGACAAUUAAUAAUCCCCAUUUUAAAAAUGCUUAUUUAUAAAACAAUGAAAUAUGAAUUUUUUAGAUGUAAAAAUUAUUUUAAUUUUAAAAUUAUACAACUACGGGUUGUAGUAUUUUAAAACAAAAACAAAAUGGGAAAUAUAUGGACAACUUUGAAAAUCUGGUCUAUCAUGAAUUUAUUUAUAAAUUUUAGUCUAAGUGUGUUGAAUAAACUUUAUUACAGUUGACUAUUGUUAUUUUAUAUUAAACAUGAUUAAAAUGCAUAGAUAACAUGAAGAAUUUGUAAAAAAGUAAUUUUUUAAUCAAAUCACUCAAUCAUCUUUGAUUAUUUUAUUACAUUCAAUGAUUAGCAAAAUUUAAAAUUCUAAUUACAUCUUGAUGAUAUUUUUAGUUGAUGAUAAUAUAACGAUAUCUUUAAAAAUAAUUUACCCAUAUAAAUAAAUUAGUCACAAUUUUUUUAAUAAUUAUUUACCCAUAGUUUAAAAUAUUUUAUAGAGUCAUUCAGUUAUAUUGGAGUAUGAUAUCACAUUGUCAUAUCAUUUUGUAAAAGAUCUCAAAAUAUUAGCUAGUAUUGUAAAAAAUCUUCAUUUAGAUUUUAUCUCAAUACUAGUAGUAGGUAGUAGCAUGAAGGAGAAAACUAAUGACAAAAUGAAUCUGAAAAAUGGAUAAAUUAACAGUGAGGAUAUAUAACUAAGAUGAGACUGUCCACUAAACAAUUAUUGAAAAAUGAUAGGCAUGAAAUGAGAGGCACACAUGCAUGAGUCAAUUUUAUAAAUAAAAUAUUCACACUUGAAUCAAUUAAAAAUAUGAAUGAAGAAGAACUUACCAACCAAGAAUAGUGAAAGCAACAGGAAGAACAAGAGCUUGAAUACCAAUCCCAGAACAAAGAGUAUGAAAAGCAGCAUAAUAUUUGUUACCAUUUCUUGACUCAGUUAUUGGAAGCCAAGCAUCUUGAGGAUCAAGUUUGAUUAGUCUCAAAGCAUUCCUAACAGGUGUUCCUAAAGGGGUAAUAAACCUUGGUGGGGUAAAAGACAUUCUUGGUGUUCUAGGGGUCUUGUUCUUUGGAUUUGGUGUAUCCUCAUUCUCUGAAUGAAGAAGGGGUGAUCUUGUGAGAGAUGGUGAGUAUUGAAGCUGAGAGGGGGGACAUGAUACUGGUGAUUUGAUUUCCUUAGCUUCAGCCAUGUGUUUCCUCACUUUGUUCUCUUGUUUUUCCACACCUACUGUAUGUGUUGCACUUUGGAUGUUUAUAUAGAUGGGUGUGGAAGAAUUAAUGUAUAUAAUAUACUAAAGAGAUUAAUUGUUAUGUAUAGGUGAGUAGAAUAUUUUUACAUAUAUUAUAUUAAUGCAAUAAAAUGAUUUUAAAAUUUGGGGUAAGUCUAAGUCAACCUUUACGAAAUAUAUCGAUAAGGUAAGAAAAGUUUUUUACAUAUAAAAUUAUUUUAAAAUCAUUUCUCAUCUGAUGUGGAUUCUCAACACCUGUCUCACAUCUUUUAAACCAAAUAUCUAUUGCGAGAAUUAUUUUUUUUUUUGAAAGAAUCUAUUGUGAGACUUAUAAAGUGGCGUUGUAGUGGGAUGUUCAACAAAUCAUAUAUAAACUUUCAUACCACUUUAAAAUUUAAAUUGCUUUUAAUUUGACAUUUACAAAUUUGACAAAUCAUAUUAUAAUGUUACUUAGGGGCAGAUGCGACCCAUUUGAGUGACUUCGAUUAAACCUUUUAAACUUAAAAAAGUACGCAUAUUUUGAUAGUUUCUACUACUUGAUUCUCCCUCCAUAACAAAACGCAGGUGAACAAAAAAGUCAUAUAUAUAUAUUUUUUUUUUUUAAUUUUAGACUAAAUAUAUAUGAUUAUGUUAGAUCUUUUAUUUGUCCUCAUUAGAAACAAUGUAUAAUAUAUGUAAGGUUCGUGACUAAAAAAAAAAACUUUUAUUUAUAUUUUGUUCAAAAUGUAGUAUCAAUUAAUUAAUAUUGGUUUUGUAAAAAAAAAUAAUAAUAAUUAAUAUUGGUCACGUGACUCAACAAUGUAAUGGGUAAGAAACAACAUAAAAACUUCAAUCAUAUCCUUUAUUUUUUAGUAAAAAAAUCUUCAAAUUCUAUCCUUCAAUAAAUCAACAGAAAUAUUUUGGGUCCAACCAUACUACUAUAGACUAUAUAAAGACAAUGAUACUGUUUUUUUAUUUAAUAUUCAAUAAACAUUCUCUCUCCAAUAAAAUCCUCUCUAUAUAUAGUAUAUGAUUUAACUUGUUUGUAUAUAUUCUAUUUAAUAUGUUUUAUUUAUAAAAUAAAAUAUUAUAUUAUAUGUACUAUUAUAUAUGUCAUAUAUAUAGUAUUUAUGUUUUUACAAGAAAAAGUAUAUAUGUCAUAUGGUAUUUAUUUCUUUUCAAGAAAAAGAAGAAAUAUGUCAUUAUAUUGCAAAGGGUAUUCAUAUAAAUAUCUUUUUUGUUUGUGUUGGCAUUGUUCUUCAAAUAAUAUAUGUACACUAUAAAAAAGAUCACAUGUGUGUCCACAAGUCUUAACUUAAUUGAUAUAAAUAUGAAAAUUGAUACUUCUUACGUUUCUAAAUAUAAGUAAAAUUGACUUUUUAGAUUCAUUCAUUUAAUGAUGAAUGUAACAGGAAAUUAUGCAGCAAACUUCUUGAUUGUAUCAAUAUCAAUAUCAAUAUAGCAUUGAUUGUAACUUUUUUGAACAUAAAAAUCAAAUUAAAUAAAGGGCAUUUUCGGUAUAUCAUCAUUAAAUAUGUAGCAAAUUGUCAACUUUUGUUUGUAUUUUGUAACCAGUAGAUGGGUCAAAAUUUGCUUAUACAUCCUCCGUCCCAAAUUGUAUGUCGCUUUGGAGAAAAAAUUUGUCUCAAAUUAUAUGUCGCUUUACAAUACCAAUGAAACAUUAAUGUUACUUUUCUUAUUAUAUCAUUAACUAUUUAUUACUAUCUCUUCUUUUAAUUUUUUCAUUUAUCUUUCUCAUAUCAUUUAUUAAGGACAAUUUUGUAAAACAAUUCAUAAUAUCUCUUUUCCGCACAAUAUUAAUUACAUUUCUUAAUACGUGUGAAAUGCCCAAAACGUUAUAUAAUUUGGAACAGAGAGAAUAUAUCGUAACGGAAGGAGUAAGUUAGACAUCGUGAUUAGGGUUUGAAUCCAGUAUAUGUUUCUAGUAACUAUUGUCACUUCUUUUGCAAACACCGAAAAAGAAAGAUCACAUGAGUUGUGUUGUGACCAAAAUUUAUGUGUUGUAGAUAAAAGUUUAUGAUCCGUUGUUUUCCAUGUUCUUUACAGCAAUAUAUAUUAGACACACCCUUAGACAAAUUGUUUGUCACAUGUAAAACUCUCAUACUUCAUUAUCUUCCUGACUCAAAUUAUAAACCGAAAAUGAAUAUGUGCUAUGUAGCUGUCUUAGCUCAGCUGGUAGAGCGCGUGGCUUUUAACCACGUGGUCGUGGGUUCGAUUCCCACAGACAGCGACAAAUAAGAAAUUCUUUUUAUUCCUUUCUUUACUUUCAAUUUUCUUUUGCUUAUACUUUUUGGGAAAUGUUAAAAGAGUGUUUUAAAUGCACUUUUUAACAACUUUAAAUAGUAAGUUUUUGUAAGUUUUUAUAGAAGUUUAUGAAUUUAAUGUAUUGAAAAUUGAAGUAAUUGAUUUUUUCAAUAAACAUUUUUUUAAUUAGAAAUCCUUAACGUGAGGACCCAUACUUUUUUAUGGGAGCCUGUUUCUUUCUGGAAAAAAAAAAAAGUUUAGUGCAUACUCCCUACGUAUCUAAAUAUAAGUAAAUUUUACUUUUUAUGUUCAUUCAAUUAAUGAUGUAUGUGGUCAAUAAUAUGGACCGCAUACAUCAUUAAUUGAAUGAACCUAAAAAGUAAAAUUUGUUUAUAUUUAAAAUGGAGGGAGUAUGUAACACUCAUAAAUAUACAGUUACUUUGUAACAAAAAAGUGCAAAGAAAUAAUUUCAUAAUACACCCCAUUUAACUAUUUCUAUGGUUCUUUCAAAAAAAAAAAUAAUACUAUUUCUAUGGUCUUAGUUCAUUUUUCAAGCGGGGAUAUGUUCAUUGUUCAACUAUAUGAAAAUAACUUUUUAUUCUUUGCUUCUUAAAAAAAACUUUUUCUUUGUUAAUAGAAACUAUAUGUAUAGAACUUUAUGUAUUUUUUUAAAGAAUAUAUGUAUAGAACUUGAUGUCUUGAUUUAAGUUUUAUCCUAAAAAUAAGUAUAAUGAAAUGAAUGAAAGUUUACUUAUUUUCUUAGCCACUACUAAAAUAAUUUUAUUUUAUAUCUGAGUACGGACGGAAUACUCAUGUACUACUACAAAUAAACUAAUAUGUAUCCAUGAUUUUAUUAUUAAAAAUAAUUUAAUUGAUAAUGAAAUGAUGGAGAAAAAUCGUUUUCAAAAGAUAUACGGUAGAUCCAAUAAGCAUGCAAUUGCAAAAUUAUGUCUCAAACUAGGUGUGUAGAGACGUAGGAGCAUUCCAUGCGAACAUUGUAUGAUACAUUUAAUUAUUUAGUAGACUUUGUGUGACCGGCCAAAUAAAAGUAUCUACGGUGGUUGGUACAUAAUUAAUUUCUUUAUUUCUUUAAAAAAAAAAAAAUAUUCUUUAUUGUUUUGGUAAAAAAAAGUCAUGGAAAAAUUAACCGAUUGUGUCAACGCAUCAAUUUGUUCUAAGAUAGUAUUUGGCCCGACUUAUUUUUGACUUUUCUACAUUAUAAAAGGAGAAGUUGGGCCAAACAUAUUUCUUGAGAAGCACUUAAUAUAAAAAGUUGCUUAUUUUUUGUGUGUAAAAUACACAAAUAAAUGACUUUUGUUAAAGUUGUUGAAACCUACUUCUAAAAAUUCUCGGCAACUUUUUUCUAAGAUUUCCCCUUCGAAUCCCACUGAGCACAUUUUAUAUUUCAUUUUAUUUGAUUUCUUACAGCAUGCAUGUGGUCUACAAUUGCUGUUUUUUGUUUGUUUUUACCAUUUUUUUAAUUGCUAUAAUUUGUUUAGGUUAAAAAAUGGUCAUCUUUUAUUAAUGGUAUUAACAAAUUAGUUAUACAAAUUUUUCUUAAAAAAAAAUUAGUUAUACAAAUUACUAUUCAUAAAUGGGCACUUUUUAUUGACAAUAUGGUAUACUAUUUUUUUUUUAAAGGAAUGGUAUAUUAUUUAUGACGUGCUCUUUUAAAUAAAUAUUGUGAUGUAAAUUCAUAGGUUCAUGAUGUAUAAAUUUUUAUAAAUCUUUUUUUUUUGACAAAGAAUUUUUAUAAAUCUUAUUCACCUCUUUAUAUAUAAAAUUUUUAUAAUUUUUUAUUCAUUUUCCCCUAAAAUAAAUGUUUGUUUCAUUUUAAAAAUAUUUAUUUAUUUAUCAUAAUUUAUUAUGAAAUAUGAACUUUCUUAAAAUAAUUCAUUUUGUUUAAAAAUAUUAUCAAACACUUUAACAUAAAAUAGAUUUUGAAAUAAAAAGAAAAAUUUACCAAACAACUUAAACUUAAUUUCUAAAGCUCAUAUUUUAACUUCAUGCUAUUUGUGGUAUGAUUUCGGUUAAUCAUUCUUUGCCUAAUUUUUGAAUGGUUAAUGUUUCAAGUUUGAUGUAUGGUUUCAGACAAAGACAUCUGGAUAUUAUCGACCUAACUUUGCAUAAUUCAACUUUACACCCAUUCUAUUGUCAAAAAACUUUACACCCAUUCUCUGCAUAUAUUUCAGUUUUUUUGAAGGAUGCAGAUAUUUCAUUUCUUCUCUUAUCAUAUACUCCCUCCGUCCCAAAUUGUAUGUCGCUUUGGAAAAAAAAAUUGUCUUAAAUUAUAUGUCACUUUACAAUACCAAUGAAAUAUUAAUGUUACUUUUCCUAUUAUAUCCUUAACUAUUAAUUACUCUAUCUUCUUUCAAUUAUUUCAUUUAUCUUUUCCAUACCAUUUAUUAGGGAUAAUUUUGUAAAACAACUCAUAAUUUCUCUUCCCCACAUAAUAUUAAUUACAUUUCUUAAUACGUGUGAAAUGGCCAAAACGUCAUACAAUUUGGGACGGAGAGAGUACCGGUCAUCUAUAAUACCAUAUUCCUCUCUUCUCUUUCCAACUGUACUCCUCAUUUUAUUCUUUCAGAUUGUCUUUUAUUCUAUUUUAACAUAACUAAAUUGUUCAUAAUGAACAUGUCCGGUCCAAUUAAAUUAAUGGCUCUGUUCAAAUAUAAAAAAUGAACCUCUAAUAAAAAAAUAGAAAAAGUCAUCAUCAAUUUAAAUUUUAAAUAACAUCAGACAAAACACAAUUUUUUUUAUUUUUUAUAAUAAGUUAUCAGUUUCUUGUUUAACUUUUACCUACAGACAAAAUCGUAGAUAAAUUUAAAAUUAAACCAUGAACAUUUAUCUACUGAUGACUAAAAGUAAAUUUUCUUGUUUUUGAAAAAAUGAGCCCCAAAAUUUUGAAGCCAUGUUCUAUAGAACUUGUUGCACCCUCUAAGGAUAAUGCAUAUGAUGGAUUUGUGAUCCCCUAUUGAGAUGAAAAUUGCACACAACUUCAUAAAUGAAUUUAAAUUUCGGAUGAGUAGAGUUCUUCAUCUAAGAACCGAAUGAUUAACAAAAAUAUAUAUAAAAUUGCUCUUCUUCCAUUCAAAAUUACUUACUUCCAUACAAACUGAUAAAAAUAUCACCCACGUGACUUAAGUCACGUUGACUUCCAACGUGAGUUAACUCAUGCUCAUUACAGGUCAACGUGACUUAAAUCGCGUAGGUUGUAGGCCAGCGUGAGUUAAGUCACGCUCUGCCUGUGUCCAGUAGCAGAACAACAUAUUUGGUUUUUUUUCCUUCCUUCAUUCAUUCUUCCAUACACUCAUCCGAUCCAUGUGCGCUUUGUAAGGAUCUAUUACAACGAGACCCUUAACCGAUACAAAAAGCAUAACAUGGGGGGGGGGGGGGGGGGGGGGUGUUGAUCCUCCCUGUAAGAAUUUGAAUAGUCCAUGGGUAGGGCUCCGUUGAAGUGCUGAAAUGUUCAUGCAUGCAUUAACAUAUACUAAUCAAUAAACAACACAUAAUAUUACAUGUUUGACAUUUAGGUAAAUACACAUGGUUUAGAUUUCGGGCAUAUAAAUUGUGAUAAAUUAGACCAACUUCACUUCUUAAAUGGCACAAUGUUGGGUGAUUUUGGGUGUUUUGGUGAUUUUUUUAGGGCAAAAAUGUAAUUAUUGAAAUGGAAGGGGGUUUCUGAUAGUACAUAGGCAUGAUUCAAGUUAUAUAAUCCGAACAGAGGUAAAAUAGAAAGUUUGGAGAAUCCGCAAGAAAGCCAGAGGGUGAGAAAAUAAAUUCUCCAAUACAAAGCAUCCACAUCGGGUUGUUUAUCAGCGAGUCUAGAAUAUGAAAAUGACUCUUCUCACUUCUUAAAUUGUUGUUUUUUAGCUGUCAUCGAGCACUUUUAAGAUCAGUUAAACCCAUUUAAAAAGUUAUUGAACCACUCUUAAAAAUGCACAAUGACAAUUAACUGCCAUUUAAAAAGCCAAACUACUAUUAACCGUUGUUGAGCUAUGUUUUUGAGCAAUUUGAGAAGUGAGAAGAGUAAUUUUCCUAGAACAUUGUCACAUCAUAAUCAUUUUAACUUCUCAAAAGUUGCUCUUUAGACGCCUAACAAUUGCUCACAUGCAACUCAACCUCAAAUUACCCAAAAUAAUUUCAACGGCAAUUUACUAUCGUGCAUGGAUCUUUUUGAACCGAUUUAAAAAGUUCUGAACGACAAUUAACUAUUGUUUUAUAGUAAACAUUAAUUUAUUACCGUUUAGUAGGUGUAUGUAAGUAAUUGCUAGGUUGCUAAAGAGCAAUCCUCUAAGCACUUCUCUCAGCCAGCCAAAGUAAUCCAUAAAAUUAUCCCCUAAAAAAAUGUAGUCAUAAAAUUUUAAGCAGCAGUUAGAAUUUGUAAAUUUGUGAAUAUGUGUGUCUUAUGUUGUAUGCCUAAACUAUUUCAGGUAUUUCAUCCUUAACUCUGUGUUUAUCUACUCUUGGCCAUGAUUUGUCCUGGUGGUGUUUGCUGUUGCUCUUUUUUUCUACUUCUUCCACAAUUUUUUUCUCAAAAAUAAUUAUUAUUAGUGGAGAAAUUCCAUUGAAAUCUCGCGAGUGCCAUUGGUGUACGCCUCCAAUGAUGGCUCCAAAUUGUUUCCUAGCAAGCAUGGUACCCUAUUUUUGCUUGUUAGCCCAAAUCAAGCAUGGUAGCCUAUUUUUCCACCUCUAAUGGGAUAAUCGUGCAUAUGCUUCCUUAUUGGUCCUAGUUUCAAUUAGUGGCCGUUUUUCCUUUGUUGCUAACUUUAUAUGAGAAUACUUUCUUUAUGGAGGAGGGGGUGCAGGAGUGGAGUUGUGAGGCCAAUCAUGUCUACGGCAAGGGUAAUUGAUGUGCAGAUAAUUAAGUUGACAAAUCUUGAUGUCAUCCAGCUGUGAGAAGCCUAGCCUACGCCAAGUAAUAUUAUGCUAUAAAUAAGGAUUGACUUAUUGGAAUGGAUGUUAUAUAAGUCAAAAGGGUUUUGGAUCCGUUUUGAUUAACUUAUUUUCAAACUAUGUAAAUAAAUAAGCUUUUAUGUUAAUUCAUAAUAAGUUCUCAGUAACGAAAACUAUAUCUUCAUACAUUGUUUUUUAGAAACUAUCUUGAUAAGCUUAUGAAAAUAUAUUAAAGCUUCUUUAUUUGAAUAAGUUGUUUUACAUAAGCUCAAAAAUAAGUCAAUUCAAACAGACCCUAUAACAUAUAUAUUCGCCCUAGUGCCAAGUAAGAGUUAUUUAUUAAAUAAAUUUGCUCAAUAUUUUUUUACAAGUUUAUUUAGUAAAAAAAAUAAUCAAAUUUUAUGUUAUCUAAAUUUGGUCCAAGACACGUUUUGAAACUUAUAUUUAAUUUAAAAGAAAUGUUAGCUUUCUAACACUUACUCUACUCUUUUAUCGGGUGAAACACAUGCGGGUCUUACACUUUGAGACACAUAAUGAGAAGUGGUCACUCGGCCAUGAGGUUGUAGACAUAAACUUGGACUUCAUUAGGCCGAUUUGGAGACAAGGAUGUGAAAUAAACAGUUGUAGUUUUAGUGGUUUACUGAAGUUGUUCAACCUAUCAAAAUGUAUAUUUUAAUAGGAUUUUUUUGCUUAUAGAACCUUGCAAAAUGAGUUUUUACUAAAACUUGAGCAAUGUAUAGCUAUAUAUGAAGCAAUUCUCGACAAAAAAAGGUGAAAAUACAUGAAGGAGGAAGCAAGUCCUCAUAAAAUCUUCAGUCAUCCGAUAUCUUCCUAUGUCACGAGUAAUUUUCUUCUCCCUCGUUCUCUUGCAAAUGAGAUUGACAAAAUAAUGAAUUCUUUCUGUUAGGGUGGCGCGAUAGCAGGUACUCGUGGGAUCCAUUGGCUCUCAUGGGAGAGACAAGCUAUUAGUAAACAUAAUUUGCAAGCCUCCAAUUUAGUGAUGUUUAGUAAGCAAGGGUGUGGAAACUCACCACCAAGUCGAAUGGGCUAAUUACCCAGUUAUACGAAACCAAAUAUGAUUCAUCAAGUAAUUUUUUGGAGCUUCAAUUUGGUUAUAGUUCUAGUUAAACUUGGUGUAGUAUUUGGACGACGAGAUUUUUAUUGAGAGAUGGUUACAAGUGGAAUAAUGGCAGUGGCAGUGAUAUAUUCAAUGUCGUUAUUGAGUCUUUUAAGUAAGUUGCUCAAUUUAUGUCUUUCACUUUAAUGCUGGUUUUAGAUUUAAGAAGUUUAUGAUUUUAUCUUUUUGAUUAACCUUAUAUUUUCUGUAGCUUCGUUUUGUCUAUUUGGUUUAGCGCAGUGCUACUUUUUUAUUUUAUUUUUUUUAUUUUUAUUUUUAUAUUUUAUGAAAAUGCAUCAUAACCUAUGUGGGGUGUUUUAAUCAUAUUUGGAGACAUGUUUUAAAUGAAGUCAAACAAGUGACAAAUGAAAGAUAACAACUAUAACUACAACUUUAAUGAAUGCAAGUCAAAUUCUAACUGAAAAAGGCUAACAAAUGCAAAGUCGCGAAGCCCUGUCGAAUGGGUGGAGAUUGGUGUAGAAGAUCCACGAUCAUUGUGAUGAUAGAAGGUGUUCUGUUGAGGCUUCUUAGUUUAUUAGUAAUCCAUGUAGGGAUUAUUUGAAAAGUAAUGUUGAGGCAUCUUUCUCUAGACAUAGAAAAUGAGUUGGACUUGACAUAUGUAUUCGAGAUGAGUUUGAUAGUUUUGUCUCGACUAAACUAGAUUAGAUAUAUCAUCUUUUCUUUGUAGAUGAAGAAGAAACAUGUGGUUUGUUACUUGCUAUUCAUUGAAAAAUAUUGAUGCGGAGAUGGUUCGGAACGAACAGCGGAUGCUUUUAGUAAUCAUCUGAAAAAUGGAUCUAACUUUGGAUUCUUCAUUAAUGAUAAUAAGAAUUGUUUUCCUUGUUUUUACUUUAUUUAAUAAUUCUAUGGUCUAGUUAGUUAUGAGACAUGCUAACGAGGUAGCUCACUCUUUAGCGUGGGUAACCAAAUUAUUAUGCGAUGAAAGUGUCUUAAAAUCAAGUUUUUUGCGCUUUUGAAACAAGGUGUUUCGGAUUACGUUACUAAUCUUGUCCCAAGGAUCACUUGUGAAAUAGGGUGACUAGAAUCACAUUUUUCCUGAUUGGAAUCAUGCACCUCUCCCUAUAAAAAUAGAAACAAAUCACACAAUAGAUAAAAGACUAAAAGAAGGGAACACACAUGUCUUGUUAGGAUUUGAGUGUUGAGUGUCUUUCAAAUGUCUUGAUAGUGAAUUGGAGAGCUGUUCUCUCUCUCCCUGCCUGAUGUAUGUCAAUUUGAACAAACAAUUUCUUGGUGUCGGUUCUCUUCUUUCUUUAUUCGUUGUUUUUUGGAUUGAUUGUUUGUAUGCUCAUAGACUCUAGAUUUUAAAAAGUGGAGAUGUCAAAAAGUGCCGUACAAAUUUCAUUAAUCUAAUAAUCUUCUGUUUAAUGAAAGAAGGUUGUAAAAUGCAACUAAGUCUUCUUGUGAUCAUAACUAUACAAUCAACUGUAUUAAUCAGACUUAGAUAAGACAUGGAUAAUAUAUGAGUUUGAGCUUAAUUGUUUUCAAUAGAAUUUUAAUUUAGGCACAUAAAACCAAAUUCAUCGAAUUUCUUAGACUCAUAUACUAGUUGGUUUAUAAUAUUUGUUAGACAUGGAUAAUAUAUGAGUUUGAGUAUAUGUUACCAUCAAAAUUUAGUGAGAUGACAUAUCAAAUAUUGUAUUGGUUCCAAAAAGACAGACAUUAAAAAACAAAACAUAAAAAUCAAAAGAGGGUAUAAUAAUACAUAAAUGAUAAAUUACAUUAACAGUCAUGGUCUCACAUUAAGACAGUCAACUACUUAACUAUUUUCUAUUCUAUAUAUAAGGCACAUUGUAUAGGUAAAAUUUAACUACAUAGACAUCAUCAUAAAUAAAAAAUCUAGUAUAUCAACUUCAAUUAUGCAAUCAUGCUAGAUAUACUUAAAAAAAAAAUUACAACUACAAACUUGAGUAUACAAUUUUGAAUUUCUAAGAUAUAAUUUAAAAAAAUACAACUUCAAUUGUAAUCUUCCUAAGAAAUCCGCAUAUAUUUCCCUAGUAAUUUUUUUCCCUCUUUAGUUGAGACUACUGAGGGUUGAAAAAGCUUACAUUAACACCAGUAUCAAUAAUAACAUAUAUACUAGCUGUAACUAAUAUGACACUUAAAGCAACUCCAAAUGUUCCCAAGAACCAAUUGAGAUACCACAUGAAACUAUACUUCUUUGGUUUCUUUACUUUGAGCCACAUAAAACAUGGGUAUGCCAAUGUCACUGGCAAUGCUAUUCCUCCAAUCAAACCAGCUAAGCUAGACAAAAAUGGAAUUGCAACUCCUAUGAAGAAGCACAAAAACCCGAAGAAGACUCGGAAAAUUACUCGAAGCCACCACGGGCACGGUUUCUUCCAUCUAGUGGUGUAUACUGAUUCCAUGUCAUCGAAAGCCGGCAUGCCAUAUAUUUGAAAUGAACACAAACCAUUUACUACUACGAAAAAGCUGGUCAUUCCAAGUACAAAUUUUGAUACGUCUUGAGAAUGAAAUUGGUAUAGGGCCGUAAGCAUUCCUCCGUUUGCAGGAAUCUGUAUAUUUGAAGUCAAUGGUUUGUGAUUAGUUGACGGUGUAAAUUUAUAAUAAAAUUGCAUCAAAACUAAAUUCAAAUUAAAACAAUAUGGUACUAGUAUACCAUAAGACAAGUCAUAAUAUAAUUAAUUAGUUGGCUAAUUUUACUCUCUUUAGUUCUAAGUAAUUAGAUUAGAUGUACAUACCAAUUGCCCAUAAGCCCAAUAGCCACCAAUAGCUAAGGGAAAUAAGCAGGCAGCAAUGAGUGUGUAAGAAGCCUUCACUCCUUUCCACAUGGGCACAUGUGAUGGAUGCUUCUCACUUGAAGGCAUAGUAGCCUGCAACAAAAUUGGAAAAUCAUAAGAUGAUAAAUUACUUGAAGAAUACGUUGAUUGAUUAUUUAACAAGAAAUAAGUUACAUCUAAUCAAAUAUCUAAGAUUUAGCUCAGUUUAUUGAAAAAAAUAGAGAUUUAGAUUGUACUACAAAUCUUUUUUGUCAACAUAAAUUUAUGUAAGUUGGAAUAGUAAAUAUAAAGUUACUACUACUCAAUCAAAAUCUACUUAUUGAAUGAAGUUGACUAUACUCAAUAUUCAAUACUAUCUCUAUUUUUUUUUUUCCUCCUAUUCUGAACUUAACAUGGUGGACUAAUCAAUUAAAUAUAAAAGGAGAAAGUCGUACAAUAACUCCAAAUUGUGUGCUUGACCCAGCACAUCUAUUGAAGUUUUCAACAACUUUGAAAGCAGUAUUUUUUGUCAAUUGUCAACAAAACAAAGUAGUAACUAUCUCAUAUUCUCAUUACUUCAAAGUCAAAAGAAGAAACUGCAAAAAAAAAAAAAAAAAAAACUACAAAUUGGCUUUGCUAACGAAACAAUGACCACUCAUGACAAGUACCCAAUAAAUAUAUCAACAAAAAAUUGUUAAGUCAAAUAAUUUCAUUUCUCAUUAAUUUGAAAAAAUUUAAUUAGGUAAGAGGAAUAAAAAAUUUGCCACAUACCUGAAUUUCAAGAAUGAGAUUGUGACCCCUAAAGGCAAAAGCAAUGAUACCAAGGGCAUUAAGCACACUAAAAGCAUUUUCAACCUUGUUUUCACCCAUCACAGGAUUAUAAUUCACACCUGGUAGGGUACCCUGUGCCACAGAAGUAAUCCAAAUGGAGGUACAAUACCCUACAGCAGUGACUGCUCCAAUGAGGGAAAUUCCAGCAAUUGAAUUCAAGUUUGGUAACUGAGAUAGGACCACAGCUGCACAAGUAAAGACCAAGUACCAUUCAACUGUGGUCAUAGGUUUGGGAUUGCAAUGGUCUCC